RNAcentral lists this long non-coding RNA (1965 nucleotides) under Sarcophilus harrisii (Tasmanian devil). RNAcentral's name for it is "lncRNA (ENSSHAG00000022162.1)". The record is from RNAcentral. Lineage: Eukaryota; Metazoa; Chordata; Mammalia; Dasyuromorphia; Dasyuridae.
UGAGGGACUUUAGGGAGAAGGGUCCCCCCAGCAGGGAGCAGGCCGGGGGUGAUGGGGGGCGCCCGAAAAUAACUGGGGAGAGCCAGGCCCCCCCCCGAGAGGGGAGAAGGGGGCCGGGAGAAUUGGGCCAGGGCCAGCAGGGGCAGGGGCAGGAGCAUGCCCCCCCGGGGACCCCCUGGCCCAUCCCCCUGGGCUGGCGGCCUGCAGCCCCGGGAGGUCGGCGCAACUGUUCCCCCUGCUGGCUAAAACUGGCCCUGGCAGAGCCCUUCCGCCCUGGGGAACAGCCGGGGCCUCCCCCGGGGGAUCCUGGGAAUCCUCCUGCUUGGAUGGCAAGGAGAGGGAGCCCCGGCCAGCCGGGAGGUAGAGCCCAGGGGGCUGUGACCCGGAGGCCGGGGCUUUCACCCCAAUGGUCACCCUCCCAUCUGUGGGCGGAUAAGCCACACCCCCUAUGAAUAUUCAUGAGCCCGGCCGGGAGUCCCUCCCCCAGGGCCGAAGCCCCCGCUCCCCCCCGGCCGGGCCAAGUUGGGCAUAUGGUGCCCCGGGGCCGCUGGCAGCGCCCGCUUCCCAUGACUGUCUCUUCCUCUGGCGGCCAGAUGGUGUUUAGCUGGCACUGGGUGGGAGGGAGGCUGCCGCUUCCGCUCCUCCUGCCCCACCAGCCAGGACCGCUCCCCUCCCCACUGCGGAGCCGCAGACAGCGCAGACUCAGGCUGGGGGUGGGGGGGGGGGGGGGGGGACAACGACGACACAAGCUUUCCCCAGCCUCCUCCCCAUCAGCCCUUCCCCGGACCCUGCGGCUUCCAGUGCUCUGUUUGCCCCAAGCCUCCAACACUGAACCAGGCCCCUUCUGACCUCUGAGAGCUAGGGCCCACGGUACGGCCUCCAGGCCGGCUCUCAGGAGGGGCCGGGUCAGAGGGGCCUUGGCUCAAAUUGCCUUCUCUCUUCUCCCCAUCCAGAGGAGCGACUGUCCAGGGAGCAGGAGGUCGUGGAGGUGCCCGAGGGGGGCAUCGAAGACUGGCUGGAGAAGCGGGCCCAGCGGCGGAGCUCUGCCCAGAGCAGCAGGCGCCCCGUUUUCUCAGCUGCCGUUGGCACUUCCUUCACCUGCCUCCCCAGGGUGCCAGGAGCCAGAAUUAAUUCCUGUUUUUAAAGUGUGCUGCCAGCCAAGCCGGCCGUCUUCCAGUACCCCCCUGGGUGGCCGCCCCUCCAGGACCUGCCGCCGUCCCUGCGGGCCCCGCCCCCGGGGGGAUGGCCCCCGCAGCCCGGCGCCCAGUGGGGCUGAGAGCGAGGCCGCCUCGUCCGCCGCGGGAGCUCCUCGGGGGUCUCACGGGGGUCGGGGAACCCCUCAUCUCCUAGAUCCCAAUAAAAGGCUCCAGCCUCAGCUUGUGCUGUUGUUCAUCGCGUCCACGCCAGGGGAGAAACGGCCUCCCGCCGUGGGUCCUGCUGGGGAGGGGGGGCUCUGGGUUCCGACCCCGGCCUCCAGGGGCGCCUGGCCCGGGGACCGCCAGAAGGUGCCACUGGGGCCUGGGCUCUGGGCACAGAGAUGCCCCUCCCGGCCUGGGGAGGAAGCCACGGGCCCCACGGAGCCGUCCCUGCCUCACCUGGGAGUCAGUGAAAGAGGGGGGGGGGGGGGGGGGGGAGGCCGGGGGCCCCGAGGGCAGGGAGGGAGGGCAGGCGCCCACAUGGGCUGGGAAGCCUAAGGGCAUCCUCUGGGGGUGGGGGGAGGGACAGGAGCGGGAAGUUCUGGGGGUAGAUGUGAGGGAACCCCAAAACUCUCAGCCACCCCCAGUGCAAGACUAGGGGUCUGUGGUGCCCUCAACUCAGGGAAAUUCUGAUUCUUUCCCAUCGCUCUUCACAACCCAGAGGAUGCUGGGACGGUUCAUGGACAUGGGGAGGGGCUGAUGGGAGCCCAGCUCGCCUCGGAGGCUCUCGUGCCCCCAGUGCCGGGAGAGAGGGUUCGUCCACAAGGCC